Molecule: RNA transcript, 5661 nt
Organism: Macadamia integrifolia
Lineage: Eukaryota; Viridiplantae; Streptophyta; Magnoliopsida; Proteales; Proteaceae
Exons: 7
Source: RefSeq, a predicted model, not a curated record
AAUUUACAAGAGAUCCCCCGCGCACGUUAGUGCCGCGUCUUGGAUUUGUCAAUUGCUUCAUUUGGGAUUUCUGUAAAUCUUUCCCUCAUCUUCCCACCCUUGAGAAAUUCUGCAACGCGUGGAGACCGAUUAUACUUCAGAAGGGACUAGGGAGCCCUUCGCCUUCACAGAUUAAACCCUAGACAGUGCCUUGAGGAAGCCCUAAGUAGGAUAACUGAUUAUUCUCAGGGUAUUCGAUAGUUUAUAGAUAUCGUUUGGGGACAAGGAGCAAGAUGAAGUGAAGCUUGCGUUCUGUUGAUUCAUUGAAGGGUUUCUUGGAAAAUUUAGAUUAUUUUCGUGGCCGUGCCUGAAGAAGGUGGGGAUUUUGAGGAAGGUUGAGAUUUAUGGCUGAUCGAAGUAUAGUUGCCAAGCCAAUAUGGAUGAAGCAGGCAGAAGAGGCGAAAUUGAAGAGUGAGGCUGAAAAAGCUGCGGCUGCCAAAGCUGCUUUUGAAGCCACCUUCAAGGACGUUGAUAAGAAAGCUGAAAAGGAGUCUGCUUCUUCGGAUAGUGAUGCGGAAGAGGCUGAGGAGUUGGCUAACAAGCCUAUUGGGCCUCUGGAUCCUGCCAAAUGCACGGCCGCUGGUGCUGGGAUUGCUGGUGGCACUGCUGGUGCACCUUCGUCUUUUGUUGUUGUCACAAAGGACUUUGAUGGGCGGAAGAUACCCAAUGGAGGUGCUCACCUUAAAGUCAAGAUCUCACCUGGUGUUGGUGUUGGAGGUUCUGAGCAGGAAGGGAUGGUGAAAGAUCAGGGGGAUGGGAGUUAUACUGUUACUUAUGUUGUUCCGAAGAGAGGGAAUUACAUGGUUCAUGUUGAGUGUAAUGGGAAGCCCAUUAUGGGUAGUCCCUUUCCAGUGUUCUUCAGUGCGGGCACUACUGGAAGUGUGUUGGGUAUGCCACCUACGGCUCCAUAUCCCAAUCUUGUUAACCAGACAAUGCCCAACAUGCCGAAUUAUUCGGGGUCCGUGUCGGGAGCUUUUGGAUUAGCUGGAAUGAUCCCGGGUGUUGCUGCUGGUCCCUCAGGAGGGGCAUUAUUGCCUGGUUAUGCAUCCCUUGGAGAAGUUUGUCGGGAGUAUCUGACUGGGCGUUGUUUGAAAACUGACUGUAAGUUAAACCACCCACCUCAAAAUUUGUUGUCAGCUAUGAUGAAUCCGGCAACGAACAUGGGGACUUUGAGUCCUUCUGCUGCUGCAAUGGCUGCUGCUCAGGCAAUUGUUGCUGCACAAGUUUAUCAAGCUCAGACACAGGCGCAAGCUCAAUCUGCAAGAGAUUCAUCUGGUUCACCUGAAAAGGUAGAUGUUCUGAAAAGAACGCUCCAAGUAAGCAACCUGAGCCCGCUUCUUACUGUGGAACAGCUGAAACAGCUUUUUAGUUUUUGUGGCACCGUCGUCGAAUGUAGUAUCACCGAUUCAAAGCACUUUGCUUACAUAGAAUACUCAAAGCCAGAAGAAGCAACUGCUGCUCUUGCGUUGAACAAUUGGGAUGUUGGAGGCCGUCCUUUGAAUGUUGAGAUGGCAAAAACCCUUCCUCCAAAACCUUCCGUUUUGAAUUCUAACUUGAAUCAGUCUUCUGUGACUGUGAUGAUGCAGCAGGCAGUUGCUCUGCAGCAGAUGCAGUUUCAGCAGUCUCUUCUUGUGCAACAAGCAGCAAUAAAUUCACAGCAGGCUGCCAAUCGAGCUGCAAUGAAGUCUGCAACUGAAAUUGCAGCUGCCAGAGCGGCAGAGAUAAGCAAAAAGUUGAAAAUUGAUGGUCUUGGCAUUGAAGAUAAGGAAACUAAACGAAAAUCCAGGUCACCGUCCAUUUCUCACCCAAGAUCAAAGUCCAGAUCAAAAUCUCCCAUAAGAUAUCAACGCAGCCGAAGGUUCCGCUCCCCCUCUCCUUUGACCCGCCAUUCAAGGGAUCGUAGAUCCAGAUCACCAUUGAGAUCUCAACGUCACACUGACUACAGCAGUGAGCGGAGGUCCCAUAGAGAAAGCAGGGAUACCAGAUCUGGAAGACGGGAAAGAGAGAGAUCACAUGAUCGUUAUUCCUCUCUCUCAAAGAGGAACAGGAGUAGGAGUGUGACUCCUCGAACGAGAAAAUCAAUUCGGGCUGGUUCGGCGUCUCCAAAACGUCAUCGAGGAAGUUUAAGCCCUAGAACAAGGAAAUCAUCUCAUGCUAGAUCAAGGUCACCAAGGCAUCAUAGAGGAAGGAAGUCAUCCCCAAGACACAACAGUGAGAGCAUCUCGAACCAAAGGAGACGCUCAAGGUCUAAAUCUGCUGAGGGCAGGUCCCAUGCGGAUGAUAGGAAAGAUAGAAGCAGAUCUGAGAAGUUGAAGCUUGAUGGCAAAAAGCCUGAGAAAACUGAGGGUGCUUUGAAGGAAUCAGAUCCAACAGGGAAGGUCUUGAAGGAGAUGGGGGAAGAAGGCAUCUUAGAUUCAUCAGCACGACCUCAUGAGAACUUGUUAUCGGGGGAUGGUGCUUUAAUUGAUGGAAGAGAUGGAAGUUGGCAUAAAAAGUCUAAACUUGAUGACAGAGAUUCUGGGAAACCUGAGGCUGCAAGUAAGGAUCAGGAUUUUGAUGAUAAUAUUUUGAUGGAUUUGAAUGAUGAUAAGAGUUCUGCCAGGUCUCCAUUGUUAAAAUCACAUGUGAAAAGUGCAGCAUUCGUAGAUGCCAAGGUUCAUUUAAGUAGUAAAGAGUCGAGCAGACAUGAAAAAUCAGCUUCUGAGCAAAGAAAGCAUGAUAAAACCAACACAUCAAGAAAGGAGCGGAAUUCUUCUGACAAGGAAAAAACCCAUGCCCAUGGUCAGGAUUUGAGUAGGCAUGGGAAAUCAAAUUCAGAAUCUCGAAGACGUGAGAAAGAUGAUCUGGUUAGAAGGGAAAAAGAUUCUUUCCGUGAUGAUUCCACAUACUCUAGGGAAGAUAGGAGAGCCAUUGAGUCUUCGAAGUCCAAAUACCACAGGCAUAGUUCAAAGCAUUCAGAGGAUAGUUCCUCUAGAAGUACAAAGGAUCGACACAAAUCAGACAAGUCGAAGUUGCAGGAUGCUAAACCUGGGAGAUCGGCUUCUGCCACGAAAGGAAUUACAUCUGAUCUAGGAGAUGGUGAUGCUGUCAGUUCCCGAGAAUUGAAGACUUUUAUUAGUUCACCUGCAGUUAAAGAUGGAACCAGUAGCGAUCCAAAAAAUCUUAAUAAGCAUGAAAAGCUGAUUAAGGCGGACGGUGAACUGGAAAGAUAUGAUGCCAUCCCCAGUGAAGAAGGCUGUAUAGAUUGUAGUUUUGGGGAAAGAGGGGAAGAUGUUAGUGAUGCAUCUUGUUCCAGGUUCAAGCCCCACAUCAGAAAUCCACAAGUUGAUAGAACCUAUUUUGGCACAGGAAAUUUAGAUAGGUUUGAGCAGUUUGAAUUGGAGCACGGAAAAUUAAAUGAAGAUAAGUCCCUUAUUGAUCGUGAUUUUACUGAUUAUGAAUUGACUGACUUGGUAGGUGAUGGGCAGCCUCAAGAAAUGGAUUGCAUUUCAAAAGAACAAGAAUACACUAACAAUAUCUCCAAGGACUUGAGGGAAGAUGGGAUGAUUUCACCUUCUUCCAAACAGGAGACUAGGAAGAGAAGUUCAUUGGCAUCAGAUGAGCCUUCUUAUUAUGCAGCGAAUCUAGGGAAGGAUGAAAAGUUAGUGGAGUGUGAUGUGUUCAAUAUUAAUGAGGACAAAGACAGUACCUGUGAAAUGUCACCAGAUGUCUAAUGCAACACUGAACCUGUUUAUUUCCCAUCUAUCACCAAGGACGAGGGUGAAGUUCGACUUGAAAAGUAAUACUCAAGGGAUGCUGGGAAGGCUGCAGAUUGCUUAUGUUGAAGACUCAGAGUAGUUCGACACAAAAAUGGAGCUGCUUCUGGAGGAGAUGCAUGGCGUAUAAGAUAGAAGCUUGAGUUGGCAUUGAGGAGCGCAUGAAGUUUCUUCUACAACCAUAUCACUUACUUUUGAGUUCUGGAGGAAUGACCUUCCUGGAACAAGGCUAUUCUGCGGAUAAUUUCAUUUUUCUGUACUAAGAAUUUGGUGUGACCUUUAACUCUUCAUAAAUAUUCUUGUGCUUGUGUAUCUUUUGCAGGUCUGAGGAAACUUCACAUAAGAGAGUUUAGAAGCAGACCUUGGUUUGGUCAAAGUGAUUACAAGGAGUGCACUGUUCCAUGCAUCCAGGGUCAAUCGUGCAAUGUCUGUGACAAACUUAUUUUGCUGCUUAAUGUAUGUUGCACUAUUAUCUCCAUCAUUUGGUAGUGGAUUUUUAAUCAAAUGGCUUGCCUACUGUAGCUCUGGUUAUUUUCUUUUAAUUUAUUUUCUCAAGAUACCAGAUUAUUUUUCAAGCCUUAGAAGCCUGGAUCUUAUGUAGACUAGGAGUUACAUCUCAACCAAUGCUGAGCUGUCUGAUAUGAAUGAUAUCUGAGAAGAUGAACCUACUCUGUAGGUUUGUUUUCCAGAAUGCAUCCCAUAGUUGUCAGUCUACAUGAUAUGGAUUUUUUACUUGAUACUGUUGUUUUCUUUCUCGUUGUGUUGGGUGAUUGAAAAGUGUGUAGCCUCAUGAUAAGCCUUUCUCUGAGGUUUCUGAUUAUAGGCUCCACUUUAUUUUCCUUUAAUGGUCAGGUGGUUGCCUGUCAUAUUCGAAAUAUGUGCAGGUGUUUGAUGGUGGUUAUAGCAGCUUUCCAGAGCAAGCUGGCAGGGUUCAUCUUCUCUAUGAUGGAUUUAAGUGUCUUUGAUUAGGUAAUCUACUUUUAAGGUCAGCUGAAGCCAGGGAAUUCUGGGUUGCAUUUAAUCCACAAUCUCACCACGUGAGCUUUGAGCAGAUUGGCUGAGUUUGGACUAGUUCAUGGUGAAUUGUGCCAUGGUGAUUUUAACAGGUAACUUUAUGGGAAACCAUGGAACAGAGUUUGUUUAGGUUCUGCAAAUUGUGUUAUUAUUUGGAUCAAAGGCUUUAGCAUACUUUUACCAUGCACACUUGUAGGUGCUGGCUAUGGAUCUUAAUAAAUUCUUAACGGGUCAUUAAAACCUGUCUAUUCAUUAAAUGAUAACCACAAGCAUCAAAUUCUUCUGUGAAUUCAGAGGACAAUGGAUCUCCUGCUUCAAAGGGAUGAGUUUUCCAUUCUGUUAGUGGAUACAAACAUAUGUUUAUGAUGGCUCCGAUCUGGUAACUUGAUAGAGUUUUGAUACCUCCAUUCAUCAAGUAAAUCCACUUGCCUCACUGUUGCUUUCAAUUCAAAAGGAUAGCGGAUCUGCUACUCCAAAUGGCUGAUAUGUCUAGUAUGUUUUCAGCUACAAACUUAAAUUUGUCAUGCCCUGAUCUGUUCAACUUUUUUUUUUCCCUUCUCUCUCUUGGAUUUGCUUCGUUUGCAGGGUUUUGUAUUCUUUGGUAGAAUCGGUGUAUCACAUUACAGAGUUGGUUCCAGUUAUUUUUAGGACCUAGUACACUCAAGGCGUGGCCAAAUACCUUCUAUUAUCAUCGUUGACUGGGGAAGCUAGUCAAUGUGUGUUGCCAUGGCAGAUGUAGUUGGUACUCUUUUUGGAAGUUCAGUACUUGGGUAGUAGUUUUAAAUAUAUUAUAUAUUUCAGAAAAAGCAGUGAAUUUAUUUCAAUAGUAAUGGUGAGAUAUAUUAUUUUCCAA